UACAGAGAGUGCGAGCGUUGUUCGGAAUCACUGGGCUUGAAGCGCACGUAGGCGGCAUCGUAAGUGUCGGGUGAAAUCCCACGGCUCACCCGUCGGAACGUGCCCGGCCGAGACUGCGAUGCUCGAGUGUGGUAGGGGAGGAACGGAACUCCUGGUGGAGCGGUGAAAUGCGUAGAUAUCAGGAGGAACACCGGUGGCGAAGGCGGUUCUCUGGU
This 215-nucleotide ribosomal RNA is filed under the name uncultured bacterium. Its description in RNAcentral is "partial 16S ribosomal RNA". It matches the Rfam family "Bacterial small subunit ribosomal RNA", at positions 524 to 733 of the family's 1533-position model. The record is from RNAcentral.